CCAUAGUAAUUGCAUACUAGUGGUAGUCUCAACUACUAAUAUAAAGUCUUACUUAAUGGUGGGUUUUCAGAUGAUGCUUGAUGGUUGAUUGAUUAAUUAAUUUUAAAAAAGCCUAUGGAGUAAAAAUACAUGUGAAUCAUUUUAACAAUGGUUUUACUUUAAAGCUCUUAAGAACUAAAAUUUACUUAUUAUAGAUUAUAAUUGUGAUUUUUUAUAUAAAACGAGUAUUGUUUUUGAUCAUCAGCCCAAGUAGAAAGAAAGUUGGUUUCAAUCACUCCCCCCCCAAAAAAAAGUAAACUAGACAAGGGAAACAUUCUUGAUACACUAGAAAGAGUCCUGAAUACCUCAUACCCUUUGGGAGCAGAUAAAGAAAUGCCAUUUCCCUUUUUUUAUGGUUCAUUCUCCAUGUACAUAAAUGAUCUAUUUGUCAUCACAUAGUGAUGGUGAUUCUUUACACAUAGUGUAUAUGUAAGUGUUAUUUACUGAUCAAAAAAGGGGGCUAUGAAAGUAUACCAUGUAUUAUUAUUAUGUGGAAUCUUUAAAGGUGCAUAUAUAUUGUUCCUUGACUAUAAAUCUCAAGCAGAAAAAUAAUAUUAAAUUUGGCCAUACUGCUGUUUCUAACAUUCCAGUAACCCCAGUGAAACAUUCCCUUUCAAUGGCAGAUUAUAAUGUUAUCAUAAAAUUCUAACCCAUAAGGUAGCCUCCUUACCUACGUUUUAUCAGCUGCCUUUCCCUUUGGAUUUAAGUUUUCUGUUGAUGAAUUACAAGGUAAUUUUUUCAGUUACCUCUUGUUCUGAUUAUCCUGUUAAAAGUGAGUAACUUAUUCAAUGCUAGAAAACCACACUAGCAUUCCUUUAAUUCUACGAUAUAAUCCUUAAUUUGAAAUGAAGUUUGAUUGUUUUAACUACAAAACAUAAAGGAGCCUUCACUACAUCAAGACCUUUAAUGGAAACUAAUGGAAUUUUUGGCAUAAAAUAGUCGAAUUAAUUAGAUCGAGCAAUGCACACUGUUUAACAGCUAGCCUGCCAUUUUACACUGAUUUGAAGUCGUACAUACUUAACAAAAGACAUUGGGUUGAUUGCACAAAGGAGUUGAACACUCUUUUCACAUUCAUUGUGUAAGUUAUUAUCCACUGUGAAAAGAUUAUUGACUUUUUUAAAGGAGAUAUUAUGGAGAGAAAUGAUUGCUACCAGGAUGACUAGUAGAAUUAUGUAUGAGAUAAGUAAUAACUCUAAUUUCUCAUCUGCUGAAUAAAUGGCUUUAAUUUUAAAAUACUAGUUAGUGCAUAUGAGAUUUCUGCUGAAUUGAGCAGAAUUAUCAAAGCUGGGUUUGAAAUGUAGUGGACACUGAAGGUGAAGUAUAAAACAAAACCUUUGAUGUAUAAUUUAGCCUAUUUGGUGAUUUUAUAUCCUAAAUCGUUAGUUAUGCUUCUUGUAUUUUAUUUCUUCCUGAAGGUUGAUCUGAAAAAAAAAACUGCAUGUAUAUGUCUUAUCCUGGAUUUAUUUUAGUAGAGUGUAUAAAAUGCCCAUGUCCCUGGUUCUUAUAUAAAAGUUUAUCAAACUUAUUGAUAAUUGAUGGAAGUUUAGUUGGUCUGCAUAAAAGAUCAAUUACCUCCAUGUAGAUGUAAGAGUCUAAAAGUUUCUUCUGUAUUCUCCCUAUAGUGUUUCUUUCUCAGAAUUGUGAUUUUCUGUAACAGGGUGCCUCAACCUUGUGUGAUCAUUGUAAAUAUCUGAAAAACUUAUAAAAUACAGAUGUGCAACAUGAUCAGUGACCAAUCAAUUACUUCUUUGAAAGCCUGUCAGGGUUUGGUCACCACAUACCUGGUGUUCUGUAUACACGCAGACAGCAACAGCAGCACAGAUUUUUGUAUUGACUUCUCAUCUCCGGUGAUAUCCUGUGGCACUUGCAAAAAUGAUCAUGGAAGGGGGGAAUUGACCGACAAAGAUGAAAGUGCAGCAGAAAAUGAAAGGUGAUAACACUGGAAGUGAAACAAAUUAAAUGGAAAUGAAGUUAUAGAAGAAAUAGUUCACCCUGGGAAUGGUGACACUGUCACCACUCAAGAGAUUCCAGAUAUGCAGCUAGAGGAACUUAGAAGGUGACUUAUCAACAUAAAUUAGGAAGAUGGUUAUGAUGAAAAGGAUGAAGAUAUCCCAGAGGAAGUGCUUUGACAAAUACUUGACAUUAAAGGAAUUCUCAGAGAUAUUUCACGACAUUGAAAGUAUGAAAGAUAAAAUGGUGGAAGCUGAUCCAAACUUAGAGAAGAGUAUGAUGUUUCACCAAGACGUAGCAAAAAUACUCACUGCGUAUCACACAUUAUAUGAUGAGAAGAAGGCAACCACUGUUUAAACUACUCUAAAGAAGUAUUUAUAUUUUUUACAAAGACAUAAUAUAUUUCAGUUCUUGAAGUUGCUGCUGUGGCACAGUGGGAACUCCUUAAAUUAGUAUUUUAAAUGAAAUCACUGUUAUUUUUAAUUCCCUAUACACUUAUAACUGAGAAUAAGAGAGUUUUUAACAUUUUGACCAAAAUUUUGUAGUUAUAGAAAUAUAUUUUCCCAUUAAUAUUAUAAUUUCUUUGCAUAGUUUCAGCUUGCUCAGUCUUGCCCUAAGUGCAAAGUGAAGAUUGCCUGUAUCUCAUUAGGAAUGGUUCAUUAACUAAAUAGAUGAAUAAAUGGUAAAUUAUCUGGGAGAGAAUGUUAAUGGUAGCAUCUUUAAGUACUUCUUAAAUCAUACUGUAGUCUACCCACCCACUCCACCUUCAGGCUGGUAUUCUAUAAAUGAUGAACAUAGCUCCUAUUUACUUUGUAGUAUUUCUCUGCUCUAGUCAUAAUCUCUUCUUUUGAUCUCACAGUAUAAUGUCUCUUUUCACCACAAGCUCUUGUCUUUCUUUCGUUUCGCUACCUCUCC
RNAcentral lists this long non-coding RNA (2904 nucleotides) under Sus scrofa (pig). RNAcentral describes it as "lncRNA (ENSSSCG00035009199.1, ENSSSCG00065071317.1)". Lineage: Eukaryota; Metazoa; Chordata; Mammalia; Artiodactyla; Suidae. The record is from RNAcentral.